UGGGGAAUAUUGGACAAUGGGGGCAACCCUGAUCCAGCAAUGCCGCGUGUGUGAAGAAGGUCUUCGGAUUGUAAAGCACUUUCGACGGGGACGAUGAUGACGGUACCCGUAGAAGAAGCCCCGGCUAACUUCGUGCCAGCAGCCGCGGUAAUACGAAGGGGGCUAGCGUUGCUCGGAAUGACUGGGCGUAAAGGGCGUGUAGGCGGUUUGUACAGUCAGAUGUGAAAUCCCCGGGCUUAACCUGGGAGCUGCAUUUGAGACGUGCAGACUAGAGUGUGAGAGAGGGUUGUGGAAUUCCCAGUGUAGAGGUGAAAUUCGUAGAUAUUGGGAAGAACACCGGUGGCGAAGGCGGCAACCUGGCUCAUUACUGACGCUGAGGCGCGAAAGCGUGGGGAGCAAACAGG
RNAcentral lists this ribosomal RNA (404 nucleotides) under uncultured bacterium. Its description in RNAcentral is "partial 16S ribosomal RNA". It matches the Rfam family "Bacterial small subunit ribosomal RNA", at positions 355 to 776 of the family's 1533-position model. RNAcentral also lists the same sequence under 2 other names. The record is from RNAcentral.